CCCGCACAAGCGGAGGAACAUGUGGUUUAAUUCGAUGAUACGCGAGGAACCUUACCUGGGCUUAAAUGUAGAGCGACAGAUCGGGAAACUGGUCCUUCUUCGGACGAUCUACAAGGUGCUGCAUGGUUGUCGUCAGCUCGUGCCGUGAGGUGUCGGGUUAAGUCCCAUAACGAGCGCAACCCUUAUCGUUAGUUGCCAGCGGGUAAUGCCGGGGACUCUAACGAAACUGCCGGUGUAAACCGUGAGGAAGGUGGGGAUGACGUCAAAUCAGCACGGCCCUUAUGUCCAGGGCGACACACGUGUUACAAUGGCCGGUACAGAGGGCAGCUACCUGGUGACAGGAUGCAAAUCUCCAAAACCGGUCUCAGUUCGGAUCGAAGUCUGCAACUCGACUUCGUGAAGCUGGGUUCGCUAGUAAUCGCGCAUCAGCCAUGGCGCGGUGAAUACGUUCCCGGGCCUU
RNAcentral lists this ribosomal RNA (460 nucleotides) under uncultured Sphingobacteriales bacterium. RNAcentral's name for it is "bacterial SSU rRNA". It matches the Rfam family "Bacterial small subunit ribosomal RNA", at positions 920 to 1382 of the family's 1533-position model. The record is from RNAcentral. Lineage: Bacteria; Pseudomonadati; Bacteroidota; Sphingobacteriia; Sphingobacteriales.